RNAcentral lists this ribosomal RNA (460 nucleotides) under uncultured bacterium. Its description in RNAcentral is "partial 16S ribosomal RNA". It matches the Rfam family "Bacterial small subunit ribosomal RNA", at positions 338 to 795 of the family's 1533-position model. The record is from RNAcentral.
CCUACGGGAGGCAGCAGUGAGGAAUAUUGGUCAAUGGACGAGAGUCUGAACCAGCCAAGUAGCGUGAAGGAUGACUGCCCUAUGGGUUGUAAACUUCUUUUAUAUGGGAAUAAAAUGUUCCACGUGUGGGAUUUUGUAGGUACCAUAUGAAAAAGGAUCGGCUAACUCCGUGCCAGCAGCCGCGGGAAUACGGAGGAUCCGGGGGUCAUCCGGAUUUAUUGGGUUUAAAGGGGGCGUAGGUGGGUUGGUAAGUCAGUUGUGAAAGUUUGCGGCUCAACCGUAAAAUUGCAGUUGAAACUGGCAGUCUUGAGUACAGUAGAGGUGGGCGGAAUUCGUGGUGUAGCGGUGAAAUGCUUAGAUAUCACGAAGAACUCCGAUUGCGAAGGCAGUUCACUGGACUGCAACUGACACUGAGGCUCGAAAGUGUGGGUAUCAAACAGGAUUAGAUACCCCUGUAGUC